ACCUAGAUCACUUGCGGGUCUGUUAGAAUGCAGAUUCUGGUUUGGGGCCCACAAUUCUGUACUUCUAACUAGCUCCCAUGUGCUGCUAAU
This 90-nucleotide microRNA precursor is filed under the name Marmota monax (woodchuck). Lineage: Eukaryota; Metazoa; Chordata; Mammalia; Rodentia; Sciuridae. The record is from RNAcentral.